GCUGUGGUGGCCGAGUGGUUAAGGCGUUGGACUCGAAAUCCAAUGGGUUCUACCCACGCAGGUUCAAAUCCUGCCCGCAGCG
RNAcentral lists this transfer RNA (82 nucleotides) under Sorex araneus (European shrew). RNAcentral describes it as "tRNA-Ser (CGA) (tRNA-Ser-CGA-4-1)". It matches the Rfam family "tRNA". From Rfam's summary of the family: Transfer RNA (tRNA) molecules are approximately 80 nucleotides in length. Their secondary structure includes four short double-helical elements and three loops (D, anti-codon, and T loops). The record is from RNAcentral. Lineage: Eukaryota; Metazoa; Chordata; Mammalia; Eulipotyphla; Soricidae.